This 246-nucleotide ribosomal RNA is filed under the name uncultured bacterium. Its description in RNAcentral is "partial 16S ribosomal RNA". It matches the Rfam family "Bacterial small subunit ribosomal RNA", at positions 15 to 238 of the family's 1533-position model. The record is from RNAcentral.
GAUCCUGGCUCAGGAUGAACGCUGGCGGCGUGCUUAACACAUGCAAGUCGAGCGGAAGCACUUAAGUCUGAUUCUUCGGAUGAAGACUUUUGUGACUGAGCGGGCGGACGGGUGAGUAACGCGUGGGUAACCUGCCUCAUACAGGGGGAUAACCAGUUAGAAAAUGACUGCUAAUACCGCAUAAGACCACGGUACCGCAUGGUACAGUGGUAAAAACUCCGGUGGUAUAGAGAUGGACCCGCGUCG